Molecule: non-coding RNA, 163 nt
Filed under: Komagataeibacter xylinus
Lineage: Bacteria; Pseudomonadati; Pseudomonadota; Alphaproteobacteria; Acetobacterales; Acetobacteraceae
Description: FMN sequence
Rfam family: FMN riboswitch aptamer (RFN element)
About the family: The RFN element is a highly conserved domain that is found frequently in the 5'-untranslated regions of prokaryotic mRNAs that encode for flavin mononucleotide (FMN) biosynthesis and transport proteins. This element is a metabolite-dependent riboswitch that directly binds FMN in the absence of proteins. In Bacillus subtilis, the riboswitch most likely controls gene expression by causing premature transcription termination within the 5' untranslated region of the ribDEAHT operon and precluding access to the ribosome-binding site of ypaA mRNA.
Source: RNAcentral
AGGCGUUCUCAGGGCGGGGCGAAAUUCCCCACCGGCGGUGUUUGUUCCCUGCAAGGGGCGCAUAAGUCCGCGAGCGCCCGGCCGCAGGACAUGCGGGCGGGGUCAAGCAGAUCCGGUGCAAUUCCGGAACCGACGGUUACAGUCCGGAUGAGAGAGAACGGAA